CUGGUUGAUCCUGCCAGUAGUCUUAUCCUUGCCCCAAAAAUUAACCCUGGCUGGUCUAAUUAUAAAAAAUCUUACAGUGAAAAAGCGCAAACGUCUCAAUAUCUCUUCUAUUUUUUUUUUGAUGCCUUCUUACUACGUGUAUACCUGUGGUAUCUCUAGAUCAAACAUAUGCAUAUUCCCCACAGUCUCACGGGGAAGGAUGUGUUUUUUAUAUAUCCAACCAAUGCGGUUCACCCCAGUUUUGGGGGGAAUCUAAUAACCGUUUCAAAUCCAUGACCUUCUGCCUGCCAAGAUUUCUUUCAAUUUCCGGCCCAACCACUUUUCAAGGGAAGGGAAUGGCACAACCUGGGCGUUAACGGUAGACGAAAAAUUAGGUUUCAUUCCCGAGAAGGAAGCUGGAAAAACGCUACCACAUCCCAAGGAAGGCACCAGGGCGUAAAUUUACCCAUCCUGGACACAGGAGGGUAUGGACAUAAAUAAUCAUAAGCUGGCUUUGGAUACACAAUUGAAUGGAGUGAGUACUAUCACUCUGCAUUAAGAUCGAUCGAAUGGAGGGUCUGUCAGGC
Molecule: ribosomal RNA, 566 nt
Filed under: uncultured eukaryote
Lineage: Eukaryota
Description: partial 18S ribosomal RNA
Rfam family: Eukaryotic small subunit ribosomal RNA
Source: RNAcentral